CAGGGGAAACCAACCCUCAAUUCAACUACUUCUUUGAGAACUUUCUCAAAAAAAGGCACAAUAAAUACAACCCGGCCAAGUGUAGAAAAGCACUGCUUGCAAGAGGAAACUCAUAUGUUUCCCAUUUCUACGUUACCUUGAUUCAACGUUGAAGCUGCGUGACAUACUUUUCCUCAUAAAAUGAUUUAAUCUUUAUCCCCCUAAAUCCCAAAUUGUGUCUUACUUUGUGUGGACUAUAUGCCCACCAAGCGUUUGCUUUAUUGCCUAGACGGGUCUAAGUAUGCGAACUCGAGGAAUUUCGUCUCCCCACUUAAUGCAGCAUCCCAAACCAUAUCAGUUGGCGUGGUUGAAGAAAGGAGGUGAAGUUAGCGUGUCGAAGCGUGCUCUGGUGACGUUUUCUAUUGGCUCACGAUACAGAGAUUUUGUUUGGUGUGAUGUUGUUAUAAUGGAUGCAUGCCACUUGCUAUUGGGGAGGCCCUGACAGUUUGACAGGAGUGUGAGCCAUGACAGGAGGACCAAUAAAUACAGGUUCACGCAUAAGGGGUUAAAGAUUGUACUGGUUCCGAACAGAGACGGGGACGCUAACGAGCCCCGACCUGCGAAUCCGGCUUUCGCAACCAACUUGAUGUCCCUUACCCGGUUUCAGGAGGAGUUGCAUGAUGCAGAGUUUAUGUUUGCUCUCGUGGGCAGGGAGGUUGUGGAGGAGGGCGUUAUGUCUUGUGAGUCCUUACCGAUUUUGAAAGAAUUUUAAGAUGUCUUUCCUGAGAAACUGCCAAAUGGUCUACCACUCUUGCGGGAUAUCCAGCACCAUAUUGAUCUGCAACCUGGUGCGUCCCUUCCGAAUAGGCCACACUACAAGAUGAGCCUAGCUGAACAUGAGGAGUUAAGGAGACAAGUAGAGGAGCUGGUAUCGAAGGGGUUCAUUUGGGAGAGUAUGAGCCCGUGUGCUGUACCGGCACUUCUAGUGCCUAAGAAGGAUGGAUCAUGGCAUAUGUGUGUGGACAGUCGAGCCAUCAAUAAGAUAACGAUCAGGUAUCGUUUUCCCAUUCCUCGCUUGGAUGAUCUGUUUGACCAGCUGAGUGGUGCCAGGAUUUUUACUAAGCUGGACUUGAUGAGCGGUUAUCACCAGAUUCGGAUUCGUGUUAGAGAUGAGUGGAAGACCGCAUUCAAGACUAGGGAAGAGUUAUACAAGUGGCUGGUGAUGCCGUUUGGGCUGUCAAAUGCGCCGAGUACGUUUAUGAGAGUAAUGAAUCGGAUCCUGCGGCCUUUCAUUGGUAGGUGCGUGGUUGUGUAUUUUGAUGACAUUUUGAUCUACAGUCUCGACCCCGAGUAACAUCUAACCCACUUGCGCGAAGUACUUUUUGUCAUUCGACGCAAGAAAUUUUAUGCGAAGAAGUGUAUUUUUAUGAGGUCGGAAGUUUUUUUUUUUGGUUAUAUUGUUUCUGCUAAUGGCUUGAGGGUGGACUCGUCCAAGGUCGAGGCGGUCAGACAGUGGCCUAGGCCAGCGAACAUUACUGAAGUCAAGAGCUUCCAUGGAUUAGCCUCCUUCUACAGGUGGUUUAUUCCCCACUUUAGCAGUAUUAUGGCUCUCUUAACUGACUGCAUGAAGGGAGGUAGAUUCGAGUGGACUGAGGAGGCAGAAACGGCAUUCCAGAAGAUUAAGGAGGGUUUGACGACCGCCCCGAUUCUUGUCCUGCCUGAUUUUCAGCAGCCCUUUGAGCUGCAUUAUGAUGCAUCGAAGGUGGGGAUUGAAGCAGUCUGGAGCCAAAACAAAAGGCAAUUGUUUUUCAGCGAGAAGCUGAUGGGGGCGAAUGUGAGAUACAACACCUACGACGUGGAAUUCUAUGUUGUAGUACAUGCGGUGAAGCAUUGGCGACAUUAUCUUUUCCACAAGGAGUUCAUUUGUACACUAACCAUGAAGCCCUGAAGCACCUCCAUAGCCAGGAUAAGGUCUCAGCUCGUCAUGCAUCAUUGGUGGCUUACCUAAAGCGUUUUACUUUCAUGGUAAAGCACAAAAGCGGAAUCACUAACCACGUUGCUGAUGCUCUUAGUCGAAGGCGAAGCAUUCUGAGCAGGAUGACAGUUGAGCUUCGCAUCUUGGCAUCACAGGAUACUGUUGGUCAUGUCGCUGGUUUGGGCCGUGAAACUGCAUCCGUCAAAAAGACCUUGCCAAAACACUGCAUUGUGGAUUUAUUGACCAAACUUCUCCUUGGCCAAGGCACGGCAAGACCUCAAACCCAGAAAACCAUUAGUUGCUUGCCUUUUUAUUUCGUGAUUGGUCAUGUUAGACAGAUUGGCAAGAAAGGAGAGGUCAGGUUGGAAACAUGGCAUUGUUUGCUUGGAGUUAAGGGCUGUCUGUAUUCUGUGGUAGAGAGCCUGAAUUAAGAGAUCAUCUUGUUAUUCACAUGCUGGGGGCUAUUUUUCUUUGGCCAAAUGUGGUGGCUAUUCAGGGAAGAGUGCGCUUACGAUAUUGGAGAUUGGCAAAUCGAUCUGAUGUUUGCUUCAGUUUUGAAAGGGAAGAAAUUGGAGAUUACUUUAAGAGAACGCUAUGUUAACUGGGAAGUAAGAACCUCCAUAUUGUUCCUCUAGAAGACUGAAGAUGGUGGGCUCACGCUGAUAUAACAUGUAAUAGAACUACAAGAGCAAGAGUUGCCUCUCUUUCCAGUUUUCAACAUAAAAUUGUCUGAUUACUCUUCUUUUUUUUUUUCCCCCUUUGAAUUAGACACAUUCGAGUGAUGUAAGGUUUGAGGCCAUGACUCUUGAGUCGUCACUUUUCAAUUCUAUUUGUGCAUAUUGUUUACUAAUGAAGAUUUGAUGCACUUUAAGAGAU
Molecule: non-coding RNA, 2830 nt
Organism: Punica granatum (pomegranate)
Lineage: Eukaryota; Viridiplantae; Streptophyta; Magnoliopsida; Myrtales; Lythraceae
Source: RefSeq, a predicted model, not a curated record